Molecule: ribosomal RNA, 497 nt
Filed under: uncultured bacterium
Lineage: Bacteria
Description: partial 16S ribosomal RNA
Rfam family: Bacterial small subunit ribosomal RNA
Source: RNAcentral
GAUGAACGCUGGCGGCGUGCCUAAUACAUGCAAGUCGAGCGAACAGAUGAGGCGCUUGCUCCUCGGACGUUAGCCGCGGACGGGUGUGUAACACGUGGAUACCCUACCUAUAAUACUGGUAUCACUUCGGGAAACCGGCGCUAAUACCGGAUAAUCUAUUGAACCGCAUGGUUCAAUAGUGAAAGACGGUUUUGCUGUCUCUUCUAGAUGGAUCCGCGCCGCAUUAGCUAGUUGGUAAGGUAAAGGCUUACCAAGGCAAGGAUGCGUAGCCGACCGGAGAGGGUGAUCGGCCACACUGGAACUGGGACACGGUCCAGACUCCUACGGGAGGCAGCAGUAGGGAAUCGUCCGCAAUGGGCGAAAGCCUGACGGAGCAACGCCGAGUGAGUGAUGAAGGUCUUCGGAUCGUAAAACUCUGUUAUGAGGGAAGAACAAAUGUGUAAGUAACUAUGCACGUCUUGACGGUACCUAAUCAGAAAGCCACGGCUAACUACGUG